Molecule: long non-coding RNA, 1074 nt
Filed under: Anas platyrhynchos platyrhynchos (common mallard)
Lineage: Eukaryota; Metazoa; Chordata; Aves; Anseriformes; Anatidae
Description: lncRNA (ENSAPLG00000025079.1)
Source: RNAcentral
AUGCUGCCGUGCUCCGAGGGGCGACAACCCGAGGGGCGAGCACCACCCGGGCGCGCGAUGCUCUGCAGGACAGCGAGGUCCGCGGUAUCAGUAUGCCUAACACUUCAUUGUUUAAGCCCUUAUACAACUUCCAGCCUUAGAGAGGGAGUUUCUAAGCCCGUGGGCUCUCUGAACUCCGCAAGCCCGAAGCAAGAAGCGCGUUUCCUCGGCCGCAACACAGCGCACGUCCCGCUCCCAAGCCCUCACGGGGGCUGCACGGCCACGCGAGCGGGGGGGCUCCAGCUACGGCCCCGCUCGCGGCUCGGGGACGGAGCCGCCCCGGGAGAGCGCCGGCAGCGCCCCGCCGGGGGGCAGCCCCGCCGCCUGCCGGCCUCACCCCGCGCCCCGGCACCGCCGGCGGAGCCCAAGCAGGAAGCGCCGGGCCGGGCCCCGCCGCCGGGAGCAGCUCCGCCGCCGCCGCCACCGCCACCGCCGGGGCUCGGCGCCGCCCGCACGGCCACACGGGGCGGGGGGGGGGACAGGCGGCGGGCGAGGCGGCGGCACCCCGCUCCGCUUUACCUCGCAGCAGCAGCAGCAGAAGCAGCAACAGCGGCGGCGGCGCCUCCCUCCCUUCUCCGGGGCAGCCGCCGCCGCGUCGCUCCGCUCCUCCGCAGCCCGUCUGCUCCGUCCCGUGCCGAGCCGAGCCGAGCCGAGCCGUGCCGAGCCGAGCCGCUCCCCGCUUCCCCCGGCCGCGCUCGCCGACCCAGUGCCGGGCUGCGCGCUGCCCGCCGCCGCCGCUGCCUCCGCUCCGCCUUCGAGCCGCCCGGCGGCCGCCCCCUGCCUGACGGCGGCCGAGGGGCGGUGCCGCUGCCUCGCCGCCGCCCGCCGGGCCCCCGGGAGCCGCUGCCGCCCGGCUGGGGCUCGCCGAGGGGCUCGGGGUGUCGCCCUCGAGGGGCUCCUCCCGCUCUGCGCUGCCCGCCGCUCGCCAACCUGCGGCCGCCCCGAGCCGUCGGGGGCCCGGCGACCUUGCCAAGCGCCCGGCAGCCCCGGCCUGGCGAGGGCAGAGGCGAAUGGGCGGGGGUGGCGGCUGUCUGA